RNAcentral lists this ribosomal RNA (1369 nucleotides) under uncultured bacterium. RNAcentral describes it as "bacterial SSU rRNA". It matches the Rfam family "Bacterial small subunit ribosomal RNA", at positions 28 to 1381 of the family's 1533-position model. The record is from RNAcentral.
GACGAACGCUGGCGGCGUGCCUAAUACAUGCAAGUAGAACGCUGAAGAGAGGAGCUUGCUCUUCUUGGAUGAGUUGCGAACGGGUGAGUAACGCGUAGGUAACCUGCCUUGUAGCGGGGGAUAACUAUUGGAAACGAUAGCUAAUACCGCAUAACAAUGGAUGACACAUGUCAUUUAUUUGAAAGGGGCAAUUGCUCCACUACAAGAUGGACCUGCGUUGUAUUAGCUAGUAGGUGAGGUAAUGGCUCACCUAGGCGACGAUACAUAGCCGACCUGGGAGGGUGAUCGGCCACACUGGGACUGAGACACGGCCCAGACUCCUACGGGAGGCAGCAGUAGGGAAUCUUCGGCAAUGGGGGCAACCCUGACCGAGCAACGCCGCGUGAGUGAAGAAGGUUUUCGGAUCGUAAAGCUCUGUUGUAAGUCAAGAACGGGUGUGAGAGUGGAAAGUUCACACUGUGACGGUAGCUUACCAGAAAGGGACGGCUAACUACGUGCCAGCAGCCGCGGUAAUACGUAGGUCCCGAGCGUUGUCCGGAUUUAUUGGGCGUAAAGCGAGCGCAGGCGGUUUGAUAAGUCUGAAGUUAAAGGCUGUGGCUCAACCAUAGUUCGCUUUGGAAACUGUCAAACUUGAGUGCAGAAGGGGAGAGUGGAAUUCCAUGUGUAGCGGUGAAAUGCGUAGAUAUAUGGAGGAACACCGGUGGCGAAAGCUGCUCUCUGGUCUGUAACUGACGCUGAGGCUCGAAAGCGUGGGGAGCGAACAGGAUUAGAUACCCUGGUAGUCCACGCCGUAAACGAUGAGUGCUAGGUGUUGGAUCCUUUCCGGGAUUCAGUGCCGCAGCUAACGCAUUAAGCACUCCGCCUGGGGAGUACGACCGCAAGGUUGAAACUCAAAGGAAUUGACGGGGGCCCGCACAAGCGGUGGAGCAUGUGGUUUAAUUCGAAGCAACGCGAAGAACCUUACCAGGUCUUGACAUCCCGAUGCUAUUUCUAGAGAUAGAAAGUUACUUCGGUACAUCGGUGACAGGUGGUGCAUGGUUGUCGUCAGCUCGUGUCGUGAGAUGUUGGGUUAAGUCCCGCAACGAGCGCAACCCCUAUUGUUAGUUGCCAUCAUUCAGUUGGGCACUCUAGCGAGACUGCCGGUAAUAAACCGGAGGAAGGUGGGGAUGACGUCAAAUCAUCAUGCCCCUUAUGACCUGGGCUACACACGUGCUACAAUGGUUGGUACAACGAGUUGCGAGUCGGUGACGGCGAGCUAAUCUCUUAAAGCCAAUCUCAGUUCGGAUUGUAGGCUGCAACUCGCCUACAUGAAGUCGGAAUCGCUAGUAAUCGCGGAUCAGCACGCCGCGGUGAAUACGUUCCCGGGCCU